RNAcentral lists this ribosomal RNA (497 nucleotides) under uncultured bacterium. RNAcentral's name for it is "partial 16S ribosomal RNA". It matches the Rfam family "Bacterial small subunit ribosomal RNA", at positions 28 to 507 of the family's 1533-position model. The record is from RNAcentral.
GACGAACGCUGGCGGCGUGCCUAAUACAUGCAAGUUGAGCGCUGAAGGUUGGUACUUGUACCAACUGGAUGAGCAGCGAACGGGUGAGUACCGCGUGGGGACUCUGCCUUUGAGCGGGGGACAACAUUUGGAAACGAAUGCUAAUACCGCAUAAAAACUUUAAACACAAGUUUUAAGUUUGAAAGAUGCAAUUGCAUCACUCAAAGAUGAUCCCGCGUUGUAUUAGCUAGUUGGGGAGGGAAAGGCUCACCAAGGCGAUGAUACAUAGCCGACCUGGGAGGGUGGACGGCCAAAUUGGGACUGGGAAACGGCCCAAACUCCUACGGGAGGCAGCAGUAGGGGAUCUUCGGACAUUGACGAAAGUCUGACCGAGCAAAGCCGCGGGAGUGAAGAAGGGUUUCGGAUCGUAAAACUAUGUUGGGAGAGAAGAACGUUGGUGAGAGUGGAAAGCUCAUCAAGUGACGGUAACUACACAGAAAGGGACGGCUAACUACGUG